GGUUUCUCAGGAGUCUUCAGCAACAAGUUGAAGAUCCAGUUAUCUGAAGACAGUCCUUUCCUCCAUUUGUGCUCAAGACCAACAGUCCUACGAGGAAGCAAAACACAAAAAUGAAAAGGAGGAAGCUUGGUGAAAGUUCAACAAAGGGACGGAGACAAGACUACAUUUGCAUAAACCAAUCCAAUGCAGCCUCUUUUCUUUCCUUUGCCUUCACAUUUCAUCUCAUGUAUCACUGCCUGAGAUCAACUUUGCACCUCUUUCCAUUCAGAGACUUAAAGUUUUCAGAUUUUUUUUUCUUUUUUUGAAAUCUAACAAACGCUGACUUUCAACCCAACCCUGAACGAGAUGACUCAGGACUCCUUGCUGGCCAGACACAGACGCUUCCUGCUGAGCGCUCAGCAAGGAUCUACACUAACCUUUAAUCUGCACACCAGAAGAGCCUGAAUCUGCUCCAGAACUCAUUUCAAUAAAACUAUUUUUCAUCUCA
Long non-coding RNA from Amphiprion ocellaris (clown anemonefish), 487 nucleotides. RefSeq lists it as uncharacterized. Lineage: Eukaryota; Metazoa; Chordata; Actinopteri; Pomacentridae. The record is from RefSeq and is a predicted model, not a curated record. The transcript has 2 exons.